AUCCUGGGCUGUGGUGGAGGCUGCACAGGGGUGGGGGCUGCCGUGAGAGCCCUGCCUGAGGGUCCUCUCUGCCUCCAUGGACAAUGUGGCAGCCAGGACUCCUGGGUCCUGGUGCUGGGGCUGCCCUGAGCCACAAGGCUUCUGUGGGGCCAGCUCCAUGCCCUUCUGGGUGGAGGGAUGGGGUGGGCAAUCCAUGGCCAGGUUUCCCUGGGAGUGGGUCCCCCGUUGGGGUCUGGCUCUGAGAGGAAAGGGGUCCUGUGUCCCAGAGGCUGGUGCCACCAGCACAGGCCCCAGCACUGCCCCCCUGUGCCCCCACUGCCUCCAGGGCGCAGGGCAGCCAGCAGACCCGCAGGGCCCCUGCUGCAGAACCCAGCCCCGGCGGGCUAGCGGCUGUGCCAUGGGGCCCUGCAUUGCCUGGCCACACAGCGCCACGCUGCCCCCAGGCCCCGCCGUGCCCUGGCCCCGCACUGCUGCCCACAACAUGGUGCCCGACUGUGGGGGAGGGGGCAGAGCGGGCCACCAGGGCAGGAGGACCCAACGUUGCCAUGGCACCACCCCAGUGCAGACCUCCUAUUGGCUGGAAGGAGGAGGAGGACAGGCAUCGAUUUCACUGAUGGCUCUGACAGCCAAUUACCAUCCAACAUGGCAAGGGAAAAAGACACCAAGGAGGGAAGUGAAGGAGGAGCGGGAGCAAAGCAGGCGAGAAGUGAGCAGGAAAGAGAGCGGGUGCGAGUGGGUUUGGUGGGGGCUGCGGGUGCGUUCAACUGCCGGCGGGUGCCCUCCCGCUGGGUCGGGGGCAGCGGUGCUGGCGACGGGGCUGCUUUCCUGCAGGAGCUGCAGCAGGGGCUGGAGGGGCCGUGAGCAGGGGACAGAGUGACGUGGGCCAGAGCAGGGAGCUGCCCUGCAGCCAGAUGUGGCAGCCUGCCCUGAGCAGCUGGGCCGGGGCGGCUUGGUGUGGUUUGGGUGCAGGAACCUUUGGCCCUGUGGUGGGUCUGGGAUCCCUGUUAAAGCGUUUCCCUGAGGUGCUGCUGCCAG
This 1035-nucleotide long non-coding RNA is filed under the name Apteryx haastii (Great spotted kiwi). Its description in RNAcentral is "lncRNA (ENSAHAG00000013020.1)". The record is from RNAcentral. Lineage: Eukaryota; Metazoa; Chordata; Aves; Apterygiformes; Apterygidae.